GGAUGCGAUCAUACCAGCACUAAAGCACCGGAUCCCAUCAGAACUCCGAAGUUAAGUGUGCUUGGGCGAGAAUAGUACUAGGAUGGGUGACCUCCUGGGAAGUCCUCGUGUUGCAUUCC
This 119-nucleotide ribosomal RNA is filed under the name Triticum aestivum (bread wheat). Lineage: Eukaryota; Viridiplantae; Streptophyta; Magnoliopsida; Poales; Poaceae. The record is from RNAcentral.